RNAcentral lists this long non-coding RNA (478 nucleotides) under Equus caballus (horse). RNAcentral's name for it is "lncRNA (ENSECAG00000057553.1)". Lineage: Eukaryota; Metazoa; Chordata; Mammalia; Perissodactyla; Equidae. The record is from RNAcentral.
AAAUCUGUGCUCUAGUGGGAGUGGCAGACAGGCCAAGGGAAGAACCUCAAUGGUGUCCACCGGGGUCCGUGUCAGCACGCCUGGACCAGGUCAGAUCAAUGGCCCCCACCAAUGCCUCAUUCUCCAGAGAGGUCCCUUCUCUCACUGAGGUGCCCCCAGAGCCCACCAGGAUCCAAACCAGCGAAACCCUGGACUCCUGAAGCGAGGCGCAUGAACUUAACCACUCGGCCACGGCCACGGGGCGGUUCCUGAACUAUCAUGUGUGAAAAGCAUUCCAGGUGAUCUUAUUUAGGAUCAAAGUCUUCGGCAUUUCCCCAAGGUCAAGAAGAAGUCGUUAUCAGAUAAGCUCCGAAGGAUCUCAACAGAUAUUGAUUCAGAUGGAAGGAUAAAUCUGGUCCCUGUUACUCAAUCUUGGCUGGAAAUAUCCCCUUCAGAGGUAAAGGAAAGUGUCAAGAAAGGGAAGGUGGCAACAAUGAUA